Molecule: small nuclear RNA, 299 nt
Filed under: Tursiops truncatus (common bottlenose dolphin)
Lineage: Eukaryota; Metazoa; Chordata; Mammalia; Artiodactyla; Delphinidae
Also listed under: 1 other name
Description: 7SK RNA (ENSTTRG00000025003.1)
Rfam family: 7SK RNA
About the family: 7SK was discovered as an abundant small nuclear RNA in the mid-70s but a possible function has only recently been suggested. Two independent studies have found that 7SK RNA binds the CDK9/cyclin T complex (known as elongation factor P-TEFb). P-TEFb activates transcription by phosphorylating the C-terminal domain of RNA polymerase II.
Source: RNAcentral
GAAUGUGCAGUUGAUUUGGCUGAGACAUCUAUCACCACAUUGAUCCCCACAGGUGAUUUGAUGAUCAGAUUGGUGAAGCAGGUUGCCUCUCCCUCUUUACUGUCUUAUGUGUAUAAGCUCUCAAAGCUUCCAUUGUUGGAAGGGGAUGGACAACUCUGAUAGAGGGAGGGUCAUUGUCUGGUCACGGGUAGAGGAACAGAGGUAUAUAGUUAGGUGUUUAUUUCGCUUCUCCAACUUCUACACAAGCUCUCGAGUUCAAUUACCCAUGAUUGUUAUUUACUCUAGAUUCAAUCAUUCAU